AUGAACGCUGGCGGCGUGCCUCAUACAUGCAAGUCGAGCGAACAGACGAGGAGCUUGCUCCUCUGACGUUAGCGGCGGACGGGUGAGUAACACGUGGAUAACCUACCUAUAAGACUGGGAUAACUUCGGGAAACCGGAGCUAAUACCGGAUAAUAUAUUGAACCGCAUGGUUCAAUAGUGAAAGACGGUUUUGCUGUCACUUAUAGAUGGAUCCGCGCCGCAUUAGCUAGUUGGUAAGGUAACGGCUUACCAAGGCAACGAUGCGUAGCCGACCUGAGAGGGUGAUCGGCCACACUGGAACUGAGACACGGUCCUGACUCCUACGGGAGGCAGCAGUAGGGAAUCUUCCGCAAUGGGCGAAAGCCUGACGGAGCAACGCCGCGUGAGUGAUGAAGGUCUUCGGAUCGUAAAACUCUGUUAUUAGGGAAGAACAAAUGUGUAAGUAACUAUGCACGUCUUGACGGUACCUAAUCAGAAAGCCACGGCUAACUACGUG
Molecule: ribosomal RNA, 496 nt
Filed under: uncultured bacterium
Lineage: Bacteria
Description: partial 16S ribosomal RNA
Rfam family: Bacterial small subunit ribosomal RNA
Source: RNAcentral